AUGCCAAAUGGGGAAAUCAUCGCUGUCAAAAAGAACGUGUCAUCAUUUAUGCCAGGCCUGCAGAAGCAAUUCGAGAGCGAGGUCUGUCAUCUUAUGAUGCUUCAGCACCCCAAUAUAGUGCGAUGCGUAGGCUACUGCUAUGAUUUACGGCGUGCAUGUUUGCCGUACCAUGGAAAAUACGUUUUUGCAGAGACUGCUGAAAGGUUACUUUGCUUGGAAUAUAUGCCAAAGGGAAGCCUUGAUGAGUAUCUAUCAGAUAAAUCUACUAGACAUGAUUGGGGAACACGUUACAGUAUAAUCAAGGGAAUUUGCUAUGGGUUAUGCCAGCUUCAUGAAGAAAUUGAUAAGCCUAUUAUUCACCUUGAUUUGAAACCUGCAAACAUAUUGCUCGAUGACGUCAUGACACCAAAAAUCACAGACUUCGGUCUGUCAAGACUACUUGACCAACAAGAAACUAUUUGCACAUCAUCACGCCAUGGAACAUUUGGUUACAUGGCACCAGAAUUUUUACAUGGAGGUACAAUUACACCAAAGUCAGACAUAUUCAGUUUGGGUGUAAUAAUCUUGGAGGUAAUAACAGGACGUAGGGACUACCCAGACGUUACGACAACACCUCCAGAUGACUUUAUCGACUUUACACUUGAUAAACAUAGACAUGUGUUGCAGAGAUUUCCUGGGCAUGUAUCCCUACAAACAGAUUGUGAACAAAUAAAGAGAUGCAUCCAGGUAGGUAUGAUAUGUGUGAAUCCUGACCGCACCAAGAGGCCUCACAUAAAAAGGGUCAUCAGGAUGCUCCAAGGAUCAGAGAGUAUCGACUACACCAUUAGCAUCAAGGCAAUGUAA
RNAcentral lists this ribosomal RNA (843 nucleotides) under Triticum aestivum (bread wheat). RNAcentral's name for it is "partial small subunit ribosomal RNA". Lineage: Eukaryota; Viridiplantae; Streptophyta; Magnoliopsida; Poales; Poaceae. The record is from RNAcentral.